RNAcentral lists this unclassified non-coding RNA (394 nucleotides) under Hevea brasiliensis (rubber tree). The record is from RNAcentral. Lineage: Eukaryota; Viridiplantae; Streptophyta; Magnoliopsida; Malpighiales; Euphorbiaceae.
GAUUUUUCAUUUUUUGAAUAUGGGCAGACCAGGAGGCAGGAGCGGAACUUGAUAAAAUCAGAAAGUCCAAAAAUGAUUAUUGGCUUAGUAGUAAAUGGAAGAUAACUGAUCAACAAGAAAAAGGAAAAAGAGAGUAAGUUGAAGAUAUGUCAGUAUUAUCCUCCGUCAUGGGGCAAAGGAGAGAGAUGGUAAAGUUCUCAUCAUUUCAUCCCAUACAUAAUAUCCAUAGCAACUCGGCAGCUCUAAAGAUAAUGGAUGGGAAACAAACGAGCUUAAAAAUGAGAGAUGUGAGGGUAUGGGAGUGGAGAGAAAGAAAGAGAUGCAUGCCAAAGAAGGUUAUAAAAAUGUAAAGACUCCAGUAACAGUUGGUCUCAAACCAUGUGAAUAGUUGUCA